GACGAACGCUGGCGGCGUGCCUAAUACAUGCAAGUUGAGCGCUGAAGGUUGGUACUUGUACCAACUGGAUGAGCAGCGAACGGGUGAGUAACGCGUGGGGAAUCUGCCUUUGAGCGGGGGACAACAUUUGGAAACGAAUGCUAAUACCGCAUAAAAACUUUAAACACAAGUUUUAAGUUUGAAAGAUGCAAUUGCAUCACUCAAAGAUGAUCCCGCGUUGUAUUAGCUAGUUGGUGAGGUAAAGGCUCACCAAGGCGAUGAUACAUAGCCGACCUGAGAGGGUGGUCGGCCACAUUGGGACUGAGACACGGCCCAAACUCCUACGGGAGGCAGCAGUAGGGAAUCUUCGGCCAUGGACGGAAGUCUGACCGAGCAACGCCGCGUGAGUGAAGAAGGGUUUCGGAUCGUAAAACUCUGUUGGUAGAGAAGAACGUUGGUGAGAGUGGAAAGCUCAUCAAGUGACGGUAACUACCCAGAAAGGGACGGCUAACUACGUG
Molecule: ribosomal RNA, 497 nt
Filed under: uncultured bacterium
Lineage: Bacteria
Description: partial 16S ribosomal RNA
Rfam family: Bacterial small subunit ribosomal RNA
Source: RNAcentral